Molecule: long non-coding RNA, 359 nt
Filed under: Panax ginseng (ginseng)
Lineage: Eukaryota; Viridiplantae; Streptophyta; Magnoliopsida; Apiales; Araliaceae
Description: long non-coding RNA (PGIN_LNC000196)
Source: RNAcentral
GUACAGCUACAGAAUGAAAAGGCAAAGUUUGGAGAGCUGAGCAUAAAGCAUCUGGAGAUGCAGGCUGAGUUUGAUGUAGAAAUUGCUGAUAAGAUACGGGUGGAAGAGGAACUCCAUGAGUCGGAUGAGCUGGUGGGCCAAUUAAAGAUUGAACUGCAGGCCAUAAAGGUCAGAGUAGAAACUUUAGGACUGGCCCUUGAUGCAGCGUAUGAGGGCCAGCGCAGUGGGGCUAGGAGGGCACACUAUGAGAUAGGAGAGCAUAGUCGAUCCGUUCGACGUAGAGUCCUGCAGUAGUUGUUUUCCUAGGAGCCUGUGCAGGUGACCUGGCAGGGCCACCAGUGGUGAUGAUGUGAUGGCCC